Molecule: ribosomal RNA, 253 nt
Filed under: uncultured bacterium
Lineage: Bacteria
Description: partial 16S ribosomal RNA
Rfam family: Bacterial small subunit ribosomal RNA
Source: RNAcentral
UACGGAGGGGGCUAGCGUUGUUCGGAAUUACUGGGCGUAAAGCGCGCGUAGGCGGACCUGCAAGUCGGGGGUGAAAGCCCGAGGCUCAACCUCGGAACUGCCUUCGAUACUGCGGGUCUCGAGUCCGGGAGAGGUGAGUGGAACUGCGAGUGUAGAGGUGAAAUUCGUAGAUAUUCGCAAGAACACCAGUGGCGAAGGCGGCUCUCUGGGACGGUACUGACGCUGAGACGCGAAAGCGUGGGGAGCGAACAGG